UGGAUUCUGUAGGCAAAUACAGCAGUAUUUAUAUAAUGGAGUAAUACAACAGGUGCUAACGGAAAUCUUCUGCGACUUUUGUCAGUGGAGAAAGGGCAUGGUGAAAGCUAGCACAGGAAUUAAAAUUUUUGUCAGGGAGGCUAGAAUAAGUUUCUUUGCUUGAUGAAAAAAACACACUCAAACAAUUCUAAAGAUGAGGGGGGGUAAAGAUGUCUGUAAGUAUUUGUUUCAAUUUGCAUAAAGUGUUACUGUUUUCCAAACCUUCCUAAAGUGGCAUAUAUGUGCUUAUGUCAAUUCUUUAUUAAAGAUUAACAUUUCUCUCCAGGUGCCGUGUGUUUCAAAUAAGCAUUUAAAACAAGAAGCAAUCACUUAUAAGUACUUCACAUAGAUACCUUUGUGUGAGGUGUUUCCAAUGAAAGUAGAUUCUCUCCUGAUAUGUUUUUUAUUCUUCAUUAUAAUUCCAGCACACUGGGGAGCACCUAGACAACGAACGUACGUGGUGUCUGAAUCCGACACAACCUCUGGUGUGACACCCUACAGAACCUACACUGUGUCUGGAACGGACACAACCUCUGCACACUGGGGAGCACCUAGACAACGAACGUACGUGGUGUCUGAAUCCGACACAACCUCUAGUGUGACACCCUACAGAAUUUAUAGCAUCUCUGAAACCAACAUACCCCACUGUGUGGUACCUAGCAGAAUCUACAGUUUGUCUGAAACCAACAUACCCUCCAGUGUGACACCAGGCAGUACAGGUGUUGGGUCAUCAAUGGACAUAUCCUCCCAUGUGAUACCCGGCAGACCUUACCGUGUGUCUUCAGCCAACACAUCCAAUGUGACACCCAGCAGAAGAGGCAUUGGGUCAUCACUGGAUACAUUCAUCAACCUAAUACCAACCACAACCGAUACUGGGUCAUCAAUGGAUGCAUCCUCACGCAUGACACAAAAUAGAACUUUUACCGUGUCUUCAGUCAACAUGCCCUCCAGUUUUACAGAGAACAGAACUGGUACUGGGUCUUCAGUCAACACAUCCUUCCAUUUCUGACCACACAGAACCAGUUCUUUGCCUUCAGUCAGAUCUUCCAGCCAGGAUGUCUCAUCCAGCACCAGGAGAAAUCAGGGAAUUUAAUUAUUGGAGUCCUGGUCAUGUCCGUUUUCAUAACCAAUAUCAUACCUUCUCUUCAAAUGGGAAAAACUCCAACAAUGUAGAAAGAGCUAAUUAAAGUACAGUUGUACCUACCUUUUGUUGUAGUUUAUUGUACGUGAUUUUUUUGUCCAUAAUUUCACAUUUUUAGAAAAUGUGCAUUCAUAUCUUCACAUUUCUGUGUUUCUAAUUUGUAUUAUACCAAAAC
This 1355-nucleotide long non-coding RNA is filed under the name Cyanistes caeruleus (blue tit). Its description in RNAcentral is "lncRNA (ENSCCEG00000001890.1)". Lineage: Eukaryota; Metazoa; Chordata; Aves; Passeriformes; Paridae. The record is from RNAcentral.